Molecule: microRNA precursor, 94 nt
Filed under: Tupaia belangeri (northern tree shrew)
Lineage: Eukaryota; Metazoa; Chordata; Mammalia; Scandentia; Tupaiidae
Description: miRNA (ENSTBEG00000019725.1)
Source: RNAcentral
CAUGGAUAUUUAGCAUGUGUGUGUGAGUGUGUGUGUGUGUACACACACACACACACACACACACACACAUACACACACAUACACACAUAUAUAU